CGUCAUCGCGCUAAUUCCUGGCCCGUGGCGCGAUAACAAAGAGAGCUUACUUCAUCGUGCCGCGACGAAUUAUCAUUUUUGUUUGACGUUCCUUGUUUACGCGAACUCCGCCGAACUCGGCUGUGCCAGAACCGUCUGGCACCGUGCGUGCGAGCGGUUUGCAUAAGACUCAUCCUGGAGAAACGCAAACGACGCGUGUGCAUGAAAUUAUGUCACCGCUGGCGUCGCACUUGUCGCACACUUUCGCGUCAUCGUCGCCGAAUUGCUGCGCCGCGACGAUGCAGGCCGAAUGCGAGUCUCGUUUCUUCUCUCAACGGCCACAGCUGUCACCUGCCUGAACCGACGUCAUUCACGCAGGGUUCCCGUCAUAAUGACAUGCGACAUAAAAACCCAGAGAAUCACUAGUGUUAACCAAACUGUGCACGUUCGUGAUGCGUCAUACUCGCACGUGGAGGAUUUCAACGAAUGGAAUGAUUCAUAGGCGAAACGUAGACUCACGAGUAGACGCCGGACGUUUUUGUUUGUUAAUUCUUUCCUUGCCAGUCCCAUGUUAUGAAAAAAAAAAAAAAAAGAAAAAAAGAUUCGCCGACAGCGCGUGAACGGUCGCGAAUAAAUGCGAUAAGGCCCGCCAACAACAACGUCGACAUUAACACAAGACUCGAUAUGCCAGACGAUUCGGCAAUCGUAUUUGUUUUUGCGCACUUGACGGGAGUCAAGGGGCACUUUGUGAUUAUUUGUUGUUUGUAGAAUGGACAUUCCUCCGUGAUCGGCGAACAAGGAGAGAAUUGCGGCCGGUUGAGCCGGCUGCCGUGGAUUUAUUACGCGACGCAAGCAUCGCAUAAUCACACCUCGUCGACGUAGCAUGCACUUGGCGCAACGAACACGUCGACAUCGAAUUCAAGUAUCGAUCUAACACAAUCGAUCGAGCAGGAAGCGUGUAUCAGUGACGCGCACUAAAGCUGAUAAAUCUCUUAUGCAAUUACUCUAUUAAUCUGCAGGUUGAGCUCUACUCUAUUAAUCUGCAGAUUCCCGCCUACACAUGACUUUUUGCGUUUCCAAACGGGACAAAUGAUACGAAAAACAGCGGGCAAACAAGUGACGCAAAACGAUCGCUUAAAUUAAUUUUGAUAAUUAUCAUCAAUCGCUCUUUAUGCGGUGGCUGACUACGUGAGAGAGAAAAAAAGACGUUCGUUAUGUAAGUAUACACGCGACGCAGAAGGUUUAUUGUACCGAUUCUUUCGUGGAAAAGUUUCAAGGCCUUCCCUGAGGAGCGUUUUUGCGUAAGGUGGGAAUCGAAAUGAAAAGUAGGAAAAGUCGGAACGCACGAGGUCCUAACAGCAGGAUAAAAAUAAAGCUGACGGAGGAGGAGCGGGAAGAGUAGUUUUGCGGGUUCUACAAGAGGCAGAGCGAAGAAAGACGAAGAUUGGAAUUCGGCCUCACAAUCUGAGGCAUCUCUCGGAGGGGUUGUCGCUCUGAAAGAAACGGUCGACACGUGCAACCCUGUGGUGUCCUUGAGAUCCCGAAGGUUCCCACAAUUCUUAAUAGCUCAUCAUGCACGGCCGGUGCGUCCAGGAUCCUGCGCGACGCCUGCCGCCGAUCUGCUGUCAAGUUACGCCAGCAAAUCUGUCGACAACACACGAGUUCAGUCUGAUCGAAUCCGUUGCUAAUCUGCCAGCUAACAUCUUGUUUAUUGGAAAUUUUGCCAGUUUUAUGCUCGAGCCUGCUCGUGCUACAAAAGAGACUCAUUAGAGACAUUGAAUUCGCGAAGGAGCCGCCACGAAUGUCCGAAAUGCGUAGGUGAAGCAAUUGGACGUUAGACGAGGUCUAGGCUGUACACGUGUCGGGUCUUGACAUUGCACUCGGAAGACCACCAGCCCUUGUUCCCCGCUUUCACCUGCGUUCAACCGUUCGACCGUCCGGAAACGGCCGAUCGGACCCUGAAAGGAUCUCCUACCAACACGAAUCGCCGGCCCCCUUUCCCCUCUCCUAGGAGAGUGGCGCAACGGCGUCCGUCGUUAGAAAAGUGGUGGUGCACGUGGAGACGCGGCGAGAUUAUCGCAAGCCCGACACGUGGCGGCCUUGACUUUGUCCCGUCGUCAUCGCCAUCGACGUGUCGUGUUUAGUCGCGCGUUAUUAUUCAUACAAUAAAGUUAUUUAUCGGCACACAAAUGCACAUAUUCGACAUUUAUCGUUUGGCGCUGAACGCGACGACGCGUCUUUUUCUUCAGAGAGAAGAAGAAGUGAUUCGAUUUCCCAAUCAAUUAUUUUGAUCUAACGAUUGCUUGUAACGUUGCUCUCAGAAAUUGGAUUCAGAAUCGAGUGCCAUUUUGCACAGCCAUUUUGAUCUAUUAUAUGACAUAUGUGACAUCAAGUCUAUAAUCGCGAUUCAAUUGAAGAACUCUCAUCUAAUUUUCAACUCAAAUCUAAGUAUAUCUAAUUGAGAGGAGUUUCAAGUAACAACUAUUAAUAUGAGUCUAAAUCACACAUAAAUGGUACGCGAUGAUGCGUGAUAAAUAUUCAUUUCUUUAAGAUUUUCUAUACACACACACACACACACACACACACACACACAUGCACAAAGAUAAAAAAACGUUAAAAAAUGUUCUAAAAAUUGCGUGCAGUUUUGUUACUUAAUUUUCGUUGCUAUCGCGUUGUUGAAUCUAGCACGUUGUUGAAGCGCGCGGAAUUUUUUAGAAAUAUAGUAUCCGUUUCCUCGUCACACGAUAGUAUUGCAAUACUUUUUUAUCUUAUCUUCGAUAAGAAAAGUCACGCGAGACAUCCACGCGCAAUUCUGUCACCGGGCUCUCGCAAGCACACGUGCACACGUGGUCGCGCAUUCAGCGCUAAAUGCGAAACAGCGUGAAUGCGAAACAGCGUGGGCCCCGGAACCCUCUCUCUUUCUCACAGUAUCCGAUCCGAGUGUCGGUUUACGGCAUUUGACAAUGUCUAGACGUAGCGGCCGAGAGUAAUCUCGAGAACGAGCAGACGAAUCUGCCCGCAGCGAGUAAUAUCCUGUGUGUAUGUGUGUGGGGGGCGCGUAAGGGGGACUUACA
Molecule: long non-coding RNA, 3053 nt
Organism: Odontomachus brunneus
Lineage: Eukaryota; Metazoa; Arthropoda; Insecta; Hymenoptera; Formicidae
Exons: 3
Source: RefSeq, a predicted model, not a curated record